AAGUGCAACAGGGAAAGACAUUUCGGAUACGAUGAGGGUGGGUAGAGUUCACACGCCCAUAAAUAAGGACAAAAGCGGUUUUAAUCCCUAAGGACAUCCUGAUGCUGUAAAGAAUCUGACAAAACAGAUCCUAUUGGACUAUUCUACUAGUUUCAGAGAACGCUUAAUCAACGUCUCACUUCUUUCUCUCAUGUACUGGCAUGAACUUCAUUGUCAAAGCCAUUAAGAUCCCUUCAAAUAGCUUUCCUGUCUUGCUUGAUUUGUCUCCUUUUUCCACUAAUUCUACUACAUUGUCCACUGUCCAUAAACUGAUUCACAACUAUACUUAAACAUCAUACUCGUUUUUAGAUUUAUUUCAAUAGAAUUGUCCAACUGUGGAACAAACUCAACCCUCUCUAAGUCUCAUAUCUUACUCUCCCUUCCACUUGUCCUGUGUGUUGUAAAACAUUAUAUAGUAAUAAUAAUAAAA
This 469-nucleotide long non-coding RNA is filed under the name Amphimedon queenslandica. RNAcentral describes it as "uncharacterized LOC109581025, transcript variant X1". Lineage: Eukaryota; Metazoa; Porifera; Demospongiae; Haplosclerida; Niphatidae. The record is from RNAcentral.